CAGCGAAGCCGUGAGGCGGAGCCAAUCCCAGAAAACCGAAUCGUAGUCCGGAUUGCAGUCUGCAACUCGACUGCAUGAAGUCGGAAUCGCUAGUAAUCGCGGAUCAGCAUGCCGCGGUGAAUACGUUCCCGGGUCUUGUACACACCGCCCGUCAAACAAUGGGAGUGGUGUUUACCAGAAGUCGUUAGCCUAACCGCAAGGAGGGCGGCGACCACGGUGAGCACCGUGACUAAUGUUAAGUCGUAACAAGGUAAC
Molecule: ribosomal RNA, 255 nt
Filed under: uncultured bacterium
Lineage: Bacteria
Description: partial 16S ribosomal RNA
Rfam family: Bacterial small subunit ribosomal RNA
Source: RNAcentral